Molecule: ribosomal RNA, 500 nt
Filed under: uncultured bacterium
Lineage: Bacteria
Description: partial 16S ribosomal RNA
Rfam family: Bacterial small subunit ribosomal RNA
Source: RNAcentral
AUUGAACGCUGGCGGAAUGCUUUACACAUGCAAGUCGAACGGCAGCACGGACUUCGGUCUGGUGGCGAGUGGCGAACGGGUGAGUAACAUAUCGGAACGUAUCCAAUAAUGGGGGAUAACGAGUCGAAAGAUUCGCUAAUACCCCAUACGCCCUACGGGGGAAAGCUGGGGACCUUCGGGCCUGGCGUUAAUGGAGCGGCCGAUAUCUGAUUAGCUAGUUGGUGGGGUAAAGGCUCACCAAGGCGACGAUCAGUAGCUGGGCUGAGAGGACGACCGGCCAAACUGGAACUGAGACACGGUCCAGACUCCUACGGGAGGCAGCAGUGGGGAAUUUUGGACAAUGGGCGCAAGCCUGAUCCAGCCAUUCCGCGUGAGUGAAGAAGGCCUUCGGGUUGUAAAGCUCUUUCGCAAGGGAAGAAAACUUAGCCACUAACAUUGGUUGAGGUUGACGGUACCUUGAUAAGAAGCACCGGCUAACUACGUGCCAGCAGCCGCCGUAA